GCCAGUGUGGUGUAGUGGUUUGAAUGUUGGACGGUGACUCUCGAGACUAGGGUUCGAAUCCCAGUACAGCCA
Molecule: non-coding RNA, 72 nt
Organism: Phrynosoma platyrhinos (Desert horned lizard)
Lineage: Eukaryota; Metazoa; Chordata; Lepidosauria; Squamata; Phrynosomatidae
Source: the annotation of a GenBank genome assembly